CACGUAGGGGGCGAGCGUUGUCCGGAUUUAUUGGGCGUAAAGAGCUCGUAGGCGGCGCGGUAAGUCGGGUGUGAAAUCUCGGAGCUUAACUCCGAAACUGCAUUCGAUACUGCCGUGCUUGAGGACUGGAGAGGAGACUGGAAUUUACGGUGUAGCGGUGAAAUGCGUAGAUAUCGUAAGGAAGACCAGUGGCGAAGGCGGGUCUCUGGACAGUUCCUGACGCUGAGGCACGAAGGUCAGGGGAGCAAACGGG
RNAcentral lists this ribosomal RNA (253 nucleotides) under uncultured bacterium. RNAcentral describes it as "partial 16S ribosomal RNA". It matches the Rfam family "Bacterial small subunit ribosomal RNA", at positions 524 to 776 of the family's 1533-position model. The record is from RNAcentral.